GUGCCUAACACAUGCAAGUCGAGCGAGAAAGGGGCUUCGGCCACUGAGUAAAGCGGCGCACGGGUGAGUAACACGUGGGUAAUCUGCCCUAGAGUGGGGAAUAACACCGGGAAACGGUGCUAAUACCGCAUACGAUCACGGUGUCUUCGGAUGUUGUGAUGAAAGGAGCAAUUCGCUCUUGGAGGAGCCCGCGGCUGAUUAGCUAGUUGGUGAGGUAAUGGCUCACCAAUGCUACGAUCAGUAGCCGGUCUGAGAGGACGGUCGGCCACACUGGAACUGAGACACGGUCCAG
This 292-nucleotide ribosomal RNA is filed under the name uncultured bacterium. RNAcentral describes it as "partial 16S ribosomal RNA". It matches the Rfam family "Bacterial small subunit ribosomal RNA", at positions 44 to 334 of the family's 1533-position model. The record is from RNAcentral.